RNAcentral lists this ribosomal RNA (715 nucleotides) under Brevibacterium sp. ED9(2012). RNAcentral describes it as "bacterial SSU rRNA". It matches the Rfam family "Bacterial small subunit ribosomal RNA", at positions 60 to 759 of the family's 1533-position model. Lineage: Bacteria; Bacillati; Actinomycetota; Actinomycetes; Micrococcales; Brevibacteriaceae. The record is from RNAcentral.
AGUCGAGCGAUCGACGGGAGCUUGCUCCCUGAGAUUAGCGGCGGACGGGUGAGUAACACGUGGGCAACCUGCCUAUAAGACUGGGAUAACUUCGGGAAACCGGAGCUAAUACCGGAUACGUUCUUUUCUCGCAUGAGAGAAGAUGGAAAGACGGUUUACGCUGUCACUUAUAGAUGGGCCCGCGGCGCAUUAGCUAGUUGGUGAGGUAAUGGCUCACCAAGGCGACGAUGCGUAGCCGACCUGAGAGGGUGAUCGGCCACACUGGGACUGAGACACGGCCCAGACUCCUACGGGAGGCAGCAGUAGGGAAUCUUCCGCAAUGGACGAAAGUCUGACGGAGCAACGCCGCGUGAACGAAGAAGGCCUUCGGGUCGUAAAGUUCUGUUGUUAGGGAAGAACAAGUACCAGAGUAACUGCUGGUACCUUGACGGUACCUAACCAGAAAGCCACGGCUAACUACGUGCCAGCAGCCGCGGUAAUACGUAGGUGGCAAGCGUUGUCCGGAAUUAUUGGGCGUAAAGCGCGCGCAGGUGGUUCCUUAAGUCUGAUGUGAAAGCCCACGGCUCAACCGUGGAGGGUCAUUGGAAACUGGGGAACUUGAGUGCAGAAGAGGAAAGUGGAAUUCCAAGUGUAGCGGUGAAAUGCGUAGAGAUUUGGAGGAACACCAGUGGCGAAGGCGACUUUCUGGUCUGUAACUGACACUGAGGCGCGAAAG